Molecule: ribosomal RNA, 2926 nt
Filed under: Escherichia coli
Lineage: Bacteria; Pseudomonadati; Pseudomonadota; Gammaproteobacteria; Enterobacterales; Enterobacteriaceae
Description: 23S ribosomal RNA
Rfam family: Bacterial large subunit ribosomal RNA
Source: RNAcentral
GGGUUGUGAGGUUAAGCGACUAAGCGUACACGGUGGAUGCCCUGGCAGUCAGAGGCGAUGAAGGACGUGCUAAUCUGCGAUAAGCGUCGGUAAGGUGAUAUGAACCGUUAUAACCGGCGAUUUCCGAAUGGGGAAACCCAGUGUGUUUCGACACACUAUCAUUAACUGAAUCCAUAGGUUAAUGAGGCGAACCGGGGGAACUGAAACAUCUAAGUACCCCGAGGAAAAGAAAUCAACCGAGAUUCCCCCAGUAGCGGCGAGCGAACGGGGAGGAGCCCAGAGCCUGAAUCAGUGUGUGUGUUAGUGGAAGCGUCUGGAAAGGCGCGCGAUACAGGGUGACAGCCCCGUACACAAAAAUGCACAUACUGUGAGCUCGAUGAGUAGGGCGGGACACGUGGUAUCCUGUCUGAAUAUGGGGGGACCAUCCUCCAAGGCUAAAUACUCCUGACUGACCGAUAGUGAACCAGUACCGUGAGGGAAAGGCGAAAAGAACCCCGGCGAGGGGAGUGAAAAAGAACCUGAAACCGUGUACGUACAAGCAGUGGGAGCACGCUUCGGCGUGUGACUGCGUACCUUUUGUAUAAUGGGUCAGCGACUUAUAUUCUGUAGCAAGGUUAACCGAAUAGGGGAGCCGAAGGGAAACCGAGUCUUAACUGGGCGUUAAGUUGCAGGGUAUAGACCCGAAACCCGGUGAUCUAGCCAUGGGCAGGUUGAAGGUUGGGUAACACUAACUGGAGGACCGAACCGACUAAUGUUGAAAAAUUAGCGGAUGACUUGUGGCUGGGGGUGAAAGGCCAAUCAAACCGGGAGAUAGCUGGUUCUCCCCGAAAGCUAUUUAGGUAGCGCCUCGUGAAUUCAUCUCCGGGGGUAGAGCACUGUUUCGGCAAGGGGGUCAUCCCGACUUACCAACCCGAUGCAAACUGCGAAUACCGGAGAAUGUUAUUACGGGAGACACACGGCGGGUGCUAACGUCCGUCGUGAAGAGGGAAACAACCCAGACCGCCAGCUAAGGUCCCAAAGUCAUGGUUAAGUGGGAAACGAUGUGGGAAGGCCCAGACAGCCAGGAUGUUGGCUUAGAAGCAGCCAUCAUUUAAAGAAAGCGUAAUAGCUCACUGGUCGAGUCGGCCUGCGCGGAAGAUGUAACGGGGCUAAACCAUGCACCGAAGCUGCGGCAGCGACACUAUGUGUUGUUGGGUAGGGGAGCGUUCUGUAAGCCUGUGAAGGUGUGCUGUGAGGCAUGCUGGAGGUAUCAGAAGUGCGAAUGCUGACAUAAGUAACGAUAAAGCGGGUGAAAAGCCCGCUCGCCGGAAGACCAAGGGUUCCUGUCCAACGUUAAUCGGGGCAGGGUGAGUCGACCCCUAAGGCGAGGCCGAAAGGCGUAGUCGAUGGGAAACAGGUUAAUAUUCCUGUACUUGGUGUUACUGCGAAGGGGGGACGGAGAAGGCUAUGUUGGCCGGGCGACGGUUGUCCCGGUUUAAGCGUGUAGGCUGAUUUUCCAGGCAAAUCCGGAAAAUCAAGGCUGAGGCGUGAUGACGAGGCACUACGGUGCUGAAGCAACAAAUGCCCUGCUUCCAGGAAAAGCCUCUAAGCAUCAGGUAACAUCAAAUCGUACCCCAAACCGACACAGGUGGUCAGGUAGAGAAUACCAAGGCGCUUGAGAGAACUCGGGUGAAGGAACUAGGCAAAAUGGUGCCGUAACUUCGGGAGAAGGCACGCUGAUAUGUAGGUGAAGCGACUUGCUCGUGGAGCUGAAAUCAGUCGAAGAUACCAGCUGGCUGCAACUGUUUAUUAAAAACACAGCACUGUGCAAACACGAAAGUGGACGUAUACGGUGUGACGCCUGCCCGGUGCCGGAAGGUUAAUUGAUGGGGUUAGCGGUAACGCGAAGCUCUUGAUCGAAGCCCCGGUAAACGGCGGCCGUAACUAUAACGGUCCUAAGGUAGCGAAAUUCCUUGUCGGGUAAGUUCCGACCUGCACGAAUGGCGUAAUGAUGGCCAGGCUGUCUCCACCCGAGACUCAGUGAAAUUGAACUCGCUGUGAAGAUGCAGUGUACCCGCGGCAAGACGGAAAGACCCCGUGAACCUUUACUAUAGCUUGACACUGAACAUUGAGCCUUGAUGUGUAGGAUAGGUGGGAGGCUUUGAAGUGUGGACGCCAGUCUGCAUGGAGCCGACCUUGAAAUACCACCCUUUAAUGUUUGAUGUUCUAACGUUGACCCGUGAUCCGGGUUGCGGACAGUGUCUGGUGGGUAGUUUGACUGGGGCGGUCUCCUCCUAAAGAGUAACGGAGGAGCACGAAGGUUGGCUAAUCCUGGUCGGACAUCAGGAGGUUAGUGCAAUGGCAUAAGCCAGCUUGACUGCGAGCGUGACGGCGCGAGCAGGUGCGAAAGCAGGUCAUAGUGAUCCGGUGGUUCUGAAUGGAAGGGCCAUCGCUCAACGGAUAAAAGGUACUCCGGGGAUAACAGGCUGAUACCGCCCAAGAGUUCAUAUCGACGGCGGUGUUUGGCACCUCGAUGUCGGCUCAUCACAUCCUGGGGCUGAAGUAGGUCCCAAGGGUAUGGCUGUUCGCCAUUUAAAGUGGUACGCGAGCUGGGUUUAGAACGUCGUGAGACAGUUCGGUCCCUAUCUGCCGUGGGCGCUGGAGAACUGAGGGGGGCUGCUCCUAGUACGAGAGGACCGGAGUGGACGCAUCACUGGUGUUCGGGUUGUCAUGCCAAUGGCACUGCCCGGUAGCUAAAUGCGGAAGAGAUAAGUGCUGAAAGCAUCUAAGCACGAAACUUGCCCCGAGAUGAGUUCUCCCUGACUCCUUGAGAGUCCUGAAGGAACGUUGAAGACGACGACGUUGAUAGGCCGGGUGUGUAAGCGCAGCGAUGCGUUGAGCUAACCGGUACUAAUGAACCGUGAGGCUUAACCUUACAACGCCGAAG